UGAAAAGAUUGCAAGCACAGUAUGGAAAAUGAGUGGUAUUGCUAGUUUGAGCAAAGGAUGAAAACUGAUGACAAAUUAAAGGGUGCUGUACAAAAAUGUCAUUUGCAAGAAAAACUUGUGAGAAUGAACUUCCAGAUAUCAUCACAAUAUCCGGCCUCUUGCAACCAAUUUGACAGCAUCAACUCUUGCCAAAAUGCACUGGGAAGUUUUGCCCUGUGUUGCUUACAAUCCAGAUUUAUUCCGCCAGUGAUAAUUUGUUUGGAUCCCUCAAAAAGCUUUCCUCCCAGAUGAUUCUAGAAAGACAUCUUGCAAUGGCUACAACAGUAGUCCAGCUCUUUAUACCAAAGGAAUCUGGCAACAAUGCUUGAAUGCACACGCGAAUACUUUGAUGCCUGUCGGACUUUCAAUUCUCUGUGUAGAAAAGUCUUGAUCAACAUUGAACAACCCUUGUACAAAUUAUCAAAAUUUAUUGGUUGGAGACCCUAAAAUUCAGUUUUCAUUUCUCU
This 506-nucleotide long non-coding RNA is filed under the name Androctonus crassicauda. The record is from RNAcentral. Lineage: Eukaryota; Metazoa; Arthropoda; Arachnida; Scorpiones; Buthidae.